GGCAAGGCAGAGAUGGGAGAGAAGUCUGCUUGGUGGAGAAAAAAAGCACCCUUGUGAGAGCUGCUUACGGAGAAGAGGAAAAAGAGGACUCGAGAAAGACGGGAGGUGAAAGCGCUGUAAAGGUCACACGGAUUUAUAAGCCACAGGUCUUGCCCCAGGAGACCGCGCCUGGCCCGCAGACGACACCAGAGACGACACCAGGGGGAAAACCUCGCGGAGCGGUAGUGGAAGAAGCGCUGCGGGCUCCCAGAUGGCAACGUUCGUCCCCUGCUGGCCCAAGCCAGGCCCUUCGCUCUGGCUGCUGCAGACAAGUGAAAGGGGACGUCAUUGCGCUGAAGUCCAGCGGAGCGGCUCUGGCAGCCAGACAGGGACUUCGCCGUUGCCUUUAAGCACGAGGAAUUCAUCCCCCGUGCAGCCGGCAAUUCAGCUCAGCAGAGUGAAGACAGCCUUGAGUCUCUGAGGUUAGCUGCCUAUCCAAGAAAUGAAGUAUUAGCGGAGGUAAUGCGUGGCCUGAAAUGAGGCCCCUGCAGUGAGGGUUGUAUAAAUCCUUCCUAAUUGCCAGCGGCGAGGGGCCCUGCGCUGGAUGUGCUGCUGCUUUUCCAAAGGAGGCAGGGAUGGGGUGACAGCAGAUGCUGGAAAUGAAGAUUGCCCCUUGCGUGCCUCCAUGCGACACAACCAGAUGAACUCUUCAUCUUCCUCUUGGGAUUCCCUUGUGCUAAAUAAGGGGCAGAGAAAGCAAGCUGUGCUACCUGUGCCUUAUAUCCCUUAACUAUUAUGUUUCCUGCCUACAAAACACCAUUCUUGAGGAUCACUUAGUCACAGCCUUUCCAUGGGCCUGAAAGCCCUGUCGCCUUCAAUAACUCAGGUCCCACAGAGGCCCUUGGACUUGUUUUUUGAGUAUGAUUGCAUCAUUCUGCUGGAACAGAGACUGGAAAACCCUGGGGCUGAAAUGGACUGAUCUUUGGGCUUGCCCUCUUAUCACUUGCAUUUUAAAGCCAUGGUCAAAGUAAGACAUAAUUAACCCAGCGUAUCUGACCUAGCAGGCAUUUGAAGUGAUGUAACUUCAACUCAGUCCUUUGGCUUCCUUGUUAUCAGUCAAAACAAAUACAUUAUCAAGAGAUACUUCAGGUGUUUUAAAGAUCGGUUUGCACUGUCUAAACCUUCUCAUCUCCAAUGUGGACGGCAGGAUGGGUUAAACACACCUGCGUCAUCUCUAGAUAUGUGGCACGUCACUGGCUAGGGUCUAGAUUUUCAGUGAUGACUCCUCUCUCUGCAUCAGCCAAAGCAAAAUGCUGGUCCCACAGCCCCAAGGCACGGCCACAGCCUAGUUCAAGGGUGGCUCUCUCCGUCCACUGCAAACUUCCACAAACUGUAGCCUUGAUCCUGCAGUAAUAUCCUCGUUGUGAAACAACGACAUCUCUUUCUUGUGGUCUAAGGUUGGGGUUGUUACUUAUUAACAUUACUACAGUUACAUUUCUAUUGGAUGUAACUCAUUAUAAACUCAUUACUGGAUAUGAACCCAUUGAAACUUUGUAUCUGCAGUAAAUUCAGAAGCUGCAAGAUCUCAGGCACAGCUUUCCAACAUACCAGCAGGACCUUUGAAACAGCUAUAAGUCACCCAUUUCCAGAUUUCACACUGGAGUCAACCGGUGGAACAGGACCACAAAAUUCAGUCUCCCCAUGGGCAACGCGCAGACACAGCAGUGACUCUUCCAGAUCCUCAGUGUCCCUCAGUCCUUUGGACGAGGCAGCUCCCCGUAAACUGAAAGACCAGAGAAACUUGAGCCUAGAUGUUGAUCAAGCUGGGCUGCUUUAUGCUUAAAAACGAGUUCUUCACCAUGAUGUUUGCCUGUGAUUGAAAGUGGGAGCGUAGAGAAGCAGAACUUGGGCACCAUGUGGCUUUGCCUUCCCAAUAUUGCCUUCCCCCACAACACAGCCCCGUUGCUGGGGUUUUGCAGAGAUGGAGAGAUGGAAAAGGUUUGUCUCCUGGUUUUUUUUUUUUUUUUCCCAUGGCAGUGGGCAGUGAUAGGCAGCAAUUGCAUGCUGAAAAAAGACAGUGAUUAUUUUCGUUCUUUCUUAAACAGUAUAUGCUGUCCUCCAGCUAAAGAUGCAGCUCACUUUGUUGCUUCCUGUUGUAAAAAAAUCUAUUUUUACCAUCUGAGGACCAAGCUCUGUCCCAGCUACUCAAGAGCAACGCUGCCACUCUCUACCCGCUAAGAGAAAUUGUGCUGGUGAGCAGAGAAUGGCACUCAAAAAUCUUCUUGUCAAAUUUUGUUCCUGUCCUGCAUGAAACAAAGGAGAGUUCAGAAUAAAUCUCUGGGUCCUUAAAGCA
This is a long non-coding RNA of Struthio camelus australis, 2332 nucleotides long. RefSeq lists it as uncharacterized. The record is from RefSeq and is a predicted model, not a curated record. NCBI's taxonomy places the organism in Eukaryota, Metazoa, Chordata, Aves, Struthioniformes, Struthionidae.